GGAUUAGAUACCCUGGUAGUCCACGCAGUAAACGAUGAGUGCUAGAUGUUAGAACUUGCGUUCUAGUGUCGAAGCUAACGCAUUAAGCACUCCGCCUGGGAACUACGAUCGCAAGGUUAAAACUCAAAGGAAUUGACGGGGACCCGCACAAGCGGUGGAACAUGUGGUUUAAUUCGAUGCUACGCGAAAAACCUUACCAAGUCUUGACAUGUUAGUCGUAUAGCUAAGAAAUUAGCUAGUCAGUUCGGCUGGACUAUCACAGGUGUUGCAUGGCUGUCGUCAGCUCGUGCCG
Molecule: ribosomal RNA, 292 nt
Filed under: uncultured bacterium
Lineage: Bacteria
Description: partial 16S ribosomal RNA
Rfam family: Bacterial small subunit ribosomal RNA
Source: RNAcentral